This is a non-coding RNA of Momordica charantia (bitter melon), 1999 nucleotides long. The record is from RefSeq and is a predicted model, not a curated record. NCBI's taxonomy places the organism in Eukaryota, Viridiplantae, Streptophyta, Magnoliopsida, Cucurbitales, Cucurbitaceae.
CUCACUUGUUCUAAGACCGAUUCGCCAUGAGCAUUCAAGUGAGCAUCUCCAAAAGGUAUCCACACCAAUAUCCACCCUACCAAAGGAGAGAAGCCGAGAGGUUAAGUAAGGGAGUAAGAAUAAUUUUUCCUUGUUUAUACUAACCUUUACUUGUGUAGUUAUGGAGCAACAAAGAAAAUCUCACAAACCUCAAGGAGAAGGAACAAGUCCACGAUGCGAGAAUUAUAAUAACCAUAUCUUUAAUGUAACUCAUCAAAUGAGUGAAGAUCACCAUACUAGUGGCUACCUUGGACACACAACUCCUAAACUUCCUAAGUUCCAUGGAAGUACAAAGCAACAAGAAUAUCUUCAUUGGGAGGACCAAAUCGAGAGCAUCUUUGCAAAACACCAUUGGAGUAAAAGCAUCAAGAAAAAUCUUAUUACUACUUGUUUUAAAGAUUAUGCUAUAACAUGGUGGGAUGCUUUGUUUUUUAAUAGGAAAAAGAAUCUAGAAAGUCGAAUCACCUCAUGGAGAGAACUCAAGCCAUUAAUGAGGAGAUAAUUUGUUCCUAAGUCAUUAGUCAAGUUGAAAAACUUGAGACAAAGGGACAAAAGUGUUGAAGCUUACUACGACGAGAUGUGCUCAUUGCUUGAGGAGCUUAACAUAUAUGAAGAUGAGGAAACCAACAUGGAUCGAUUCUUCAAUGGACUCAAUGGAGAGAUUGCCAAGGUGAUUGUGGAAAAAGAAGAAAUUCGACCUUGUACUAGGUUGGAAGAAAUGUUGCACCUUGCCAAAAGAGUCGAGAGAAGGCAUCAAAGAGAAUCAUCGAGACCACUCCCAUUUUCUAUCGGUGAUUGGGCAGCUGAAAGAAAUUGCUAAUAAGGCAAAACAGGAGGCUAAUCAAGAUGAGUUGACUGAAAAUACUAGGGAUGAGGAACUGCCAGAGUUGUCUCCUGAAAAUACGUAUGUUUGCUUUCUCUAGUCUUAAGCUUUUGGGUUGAUUUAUGAUUUAAUAUCUAUAAGAUGCAACUGUGUUAUAUGAUGUGUAAGCCGGUCUGUUUGGGUCGAUUUUUAGCAAAAAUUGAUGCGAAACCAUUGAACAAAAGCUGAGAAUAUCUAUCCAAGCUGAACCAUCAAACUAUUUUGUGCUUUUAUAUUUUGAGAUUUGAAGUAUCAUGGAGGAACAAAAGACCAAUUGGAGAUAAUGCUGAUAUUUUCAAAAGCCAAUGCACUAUUUGGCUCAACAAGUCAACUUUACACCUCUACAAGUGAAAAGUUGGAGAGAUAUUGACCUGACAAGAAAAAGAAAACUAUUUGAGCUUACAUUAGUAUGUGAUAUAAAAACUUAAUAUUUAUUUUAUUUACUUAUUACUUGCUUUAAUUGCCAUUGUUUUUUUCCACGUAGGAGCGAUUUAAAGUCGAAAGCCAUGAGACUUCUGUUUUACAUCAACUUAAUCGAUCUUAUAAUAAUUGGAGAGAUAGCUUGAAGAAAAAAUGGUUGUACAAAUACGAUACAAUUGCACAAGCUUUGACUAAUUUUCCACAAGAAAUUACAAGAGAAGAUGCAGAAUAUCUUGCAAACUUGUGGAAGCAACUGAAUAUCAAAUGUGUGAAAGGAACAAAGUGAACCGUUCUAAAUUGAACGUAUAUCACACAUGCGGUUCACAAAGUAUACAACAAAGGGUUAAUAAAGAGGUUGUGACACUAAUAAUGAACAUGCAUAAGAAUUUGGGAGAUAACUCAUUUGAGAAACGAUGGGAUGAUGGUGAAUGAAACUACAUAAGAAAAAUUGGGUCGUCCCGAGAAAUCAGAUAGAAUGACAGGGUUGAUGCGAAUGAUGGUGGAUUGAAUGAAUGUGUUAGGCUUGGGUGGCAACAAGGGGUGCAACGCUAGUUUUAUCUUUGGAGGUUAGAGUGAGAUCUAAUUUAAGGGGGGCCCUCCUUGAUUUGAUCCUUGUGUUAUCUUUUGUGUUCUUGAUAUCUUUUAAAUGUUUAAAACCAAUUUGAAAUCUCUUGCAAA